GACGAACGCUGGCGGCGUGCUUAACACAUGCAAGUCGAACGGAAAGGCCCUGCUUUUGUGGGGUGCUCGAUUGGCGAACGGGUGAGUAACACGUGAGUAACCUGCCCUUGACUUUGGGAUAACUUCAGGAAACUGGGGCUAAUACCGGAGAGGAUCUCCUGCUGCAUGGUGGGGGUUGGUAAGUUUCGGCGGUAGGGGAUGGACUCGCGGGUUAUCAGCUUGUUGGUGUGGUAGUGGCUGCCCAAGGCUUUGACGGGUAGCCGGCCUGAGAGGGUGACCGGCGACAUUGGGACUGAGAGACGGAGCAGACUCCUACGGGAGGCAGUAGUGGGGAAUAUUGCACAGUGGGCGGAAGCGUGAGGCAGCAACGCCGCGUGCGGGAUGACGGCUUUCGGGUUGUAAACCGAUGUCGCCUGAGACGAAGAGUGAGUGACGGUAAUGGGUAAAGAAGCACCGGCUAACUACGUG
This 468-nucleotide ribosomal RNA is filed under the name uncultured bacterium. RNAcentral's name for it is "partial 16S ribosomal RNA". It matches the Rfam family "Bacterial small subunit ribosomal RNA", at positions 28 to 507 of the family's 1533-position model. The record is from RNAcentral.